GGAUGCGAUCAUACCAGCACUAAAGCACCGGAUCCCAUCAGAACUCCGAAGUUAAGCGUGCUUGGGCGAGAGUAGUACUAGGAUGGGUGACCUCCUGGGUGACCUCUUGGGCGAGAGUA
This 119-nucleotide ribosomal RNA is filed under the name Aegilops tauschii subsp. strangulata. The record is from RNAcentral. Lineage: Eukaryota; Viridiplantae; Streptophyta; Magnoliopsida; Poales; Poaceae.